This 85-nucleotide transfer RNA is filed under the name Desulfovibrio sp. RNAcentral's name for it is "tRNA-Leu". It matches the Rfam family "tRNA". From Rfam's summary of the family: Transfer RNA (tRNA) molecules are approximately 80 nucleotides in length. Their secondary structure includes four short double-helical elements and three loops (D, anti-codon, and T loops). The record is from RNAcentral. Lineage: Bacteria; Pseudomonadati; Thermodesulfobacteriota; Desulfovibrionia; Desulfovibrionales; Desulfovibrionaceae.
GCCCGGAUGGUGGAAUAGGUAGACACAGGGGACUUAAAAUCCCCCGGCUUCGGCUGUGCCGGUUCAACUCCGGCUCCGGGUACCA